UAAUUGCCAUAAUUUUCUUUAUUUUCGGCGGUACAUGUUGGUGUCGUAACUUCCUUUUCGAAUAUGGCAGGCUUUGUGAUUUCGGCAGUUAGAACCGCCGAUAUAUUCUUUUAUUAAUUAAAGAAAAACUUAGUUUAAGCAAAUCUAGCUUAGCAAGUAGAGUGCACAAGAGUGAGUUUUCUCCUGCGGUGAUGCCUCUUCAGAGUUCAAAGCUUCGAUUGCGAUCUGCGUUCUCACUUCUAGAUUUUUAGAUCAGUUGCGGCAUGGAAGCCCGACGCAGAGGUUUUAGAUCGAAUGCUCCAUAUGGAAGAGUGAUUAGUGUUGCUGCGUACGAGAAAGUAUGAGUGAUGUGAAUGAUGAACCCUAAUCUCUUGUCGCCCUUCAUCUUCCGCAGCUAUCGUUCAUCUCGUCGUUGUUUCUCAUCCCCUCGCGCCACCAAAUUAGAUCUGCCAAAAUUUUUUACGGCCUCUUUGAUUGGGAAUUCAUCGUGAAAUGGUUCUGCACUUUGAUUUCUCUGCUUCUUUUCUUCCUUCUUAAUACAUUUCAUUGAUUGUAAUUAUGCAGAUUUCGAUUUUUAAUUUUGCAGUUUAUCUCCUUUUAUUUUUCAGCAAAUUGUUAAUUAAACAAUCAAGGAAUCGGAUUAAUGUGAUAAGGAGAAAGAGAAAUUCAACAAAGAAGUUUCUUAAGCAAGACACCAUUGAUCUGCUUGCGAAUCAUUUACAGAUUGCUUACAAUAGACUGAAAUUUGAUGGGUUUAGAAGGAUCAAAACAAUGAAGUUUUGAAUGCAAGUGAACCUUGGAGCAAGAAAAAGCUUUCUUCCUUAGCAAGUGAGAACAAAUUUUUGGCAGUAAAGCUAAAGCAGGCGGCAAAUGGUAUUUUUCCAGAAUCUAAUGCUUCGUCGAUGAAUGACUAUGAGGAUCUUUACUUGGUGAUUAAUAUGAAUGAAGGCCAGGAAGCUUCUGGAUGAGAGUAUAGGGAGGUUAAUAAAAAGAAGAAAAGAAAGUGGAGAGCUUGGUGGAGGGUUAUUGGGAGAAUUGCUGGAAGCAAAAGGAAAAUACCAACUCUCUGAUUCUCAGGUUUCUUAUAAUCUCAUUGGUGUUAUCUGCCACUGCACAUGACACCACUGCAACUGCUCUUUACGAGAAACGUUGAGAAGUGCAAGCAUACUAUCAUUCACAUUCAGAGAAGUAGUGGAAGAUGUGGAGCUUCAAGAUUACUACAUUCCCAAAGGCUGGAAGGUCCUUCCACUCUUCAGAAGCAUUCACCAUUCUGCUGAUUUCUUCCCUCAACCACACAAAUUCGACCCCUCACGCUUCGAGACCAACCUCUACUAUCAUCAUGAACACAUAAAUGUAACAAAACCUCCCAAGAUGAACGUGUUUGUGUUGGAAGAACAAUAAAGAAUAAGAAGGUGCAGGAGGCAAAGCUCACCAGGGAUGAUAGGUUCUUUAUUUUUGAUCCAACCCAUCAGUUCCAAGAUAAGAAGCUGACUAUUCAAGAUAAGCAUCAUGAUGAUGAUGAUGGUGAUUCAUGCAUUGAUGGUUCUAGUUCUACACCUAGGGUCUCCUCUGAAUGGAGGAGCUCCAUUCAUUUCAAGGAUUCUGAGACAGAAGAAGCAUUGUCUUCAUCAUCUAGAAGAAGUUGUCCCAAGUGGGAAUCAUAUACUUUGUUCCAAAAAUAUCAUGAAGAAAUGUCCAUCUUAGACAGAAUUAGUGCACAGAAACUUGAGGAAACAGAGUAUUUAGGAUCCAUGGAAGCCUCUCCAAGAUCAAUUUCAGAUCGUAUUGCAUCAAUACCCGAAUUGAAGGACAUGGCUGCUGCAAGCAAGUGUGUGAGAUUGAUGAGGUGAUUGAAAUCAGUCCUUGGCUUGUGUGUGUCUGGAUCAAUACCCAUCUGCAGAAGCUUCUUCCUUAUGUGAGUGUUCCAGAAAUUCUUUAUCUCGUUAUCAGUUCUUCCUGGAAGAUGGCUUGCAAUCUUUGACCUGCCAUGGCUGGCGCCACGAGGCUGAUAGCGGUUGUCCUGCCAGCACAGCACAGCAAUUCCAGCAAUUUCAGGUAUUGCUGCAGAGAUACAUUGAUGGCGAGAGUACGCAUCAAGAGGACUAUCGGGGUAAACAUCAUUUGGUUGCAACCAACGAAAUGAAAUUCUGCUUGGAUGCUUCCCCAAAACAUAAGCUUAUUUCUAAGUUCAAGAGGGGUACAUUUACUCCUUGCAGAUGGGAUGCAAAUCAGAUGUGGAAGCUAAAUCCAAAUGGGACCAUGGUAAAAAAUUACUCCAGUCUAUGUGUAAUACCAUGGUAAAAAACGAGUGUGCAGCCGUUUUAUAUCAUAUUCCAGGUUUAUUGGUUAUUGUGAUUCUAGAUCAUUAUCUUCCUAAGAGGUUCAGAUUGUACUUCUGAUGUUUGGUUUUCUUGGCUACAUGUUGUGCAUUUCAAAGAGACACAAUUCAAGCUGUGACAAGUUUUGCCAAACGGAAUAAAUUGCCUGUUCUCAUGCAAGAACAGAUGAUUGCACAUUUGCAUAUGAAGUACAGAACUGAUAUAGAAGGGCUGCAGCAGCAAGAGUUUAAAUACAUAUUCAUAUUCCGUUUAAAUACAUUAUUAGAUAUUAAGAUAGUUUAGGGAAUUAGAUGGUAGAUUUGACUGAUUAGUGUUUAUUGCAAUGCUUGUAUUUUGGUAAGUUUAGUAAGACAAGGUUUUGUAUAGGAGUUAUUACUUUUGAUUUUCAAUAAUAAAAAAUUAUAUAUUAUAUUAA
This is a non-coding RNA of Arachis ipaensis, 2754 nucleotides long. The record is from RefSeq and is a predicted model, not a curated record. Lineage: Eukaryota; Viridiplantae; Streptophyta; Magnoliopsida; Fabales; Fabaceae.